GGGGCGGCUGGCGGCGGGCAGGGCGCUCCCGGUCGCGCUCCAUGUUGUGUGAGGAUAGCCGCCAUCAUGGCUUCUCCUUCGGCGCCGCGUUCUCUUCAGGGCUGGGGCGGCGGCGAGGCGGGCUCUCCCCCACUGCCUGGCGGCGCUUCGCAUCUCGAUCACUGGAGGGAAAUGGCCUUUUUUUUUGUCUUUUUUUUUUUCUCUCCCUCUCUCCCCUUUCCCGCCCCCCCCCCUUCCCCCACUGCUUUGUGAGGGGUUGUGGAAAGCGAAGCCGAGGAGGGAGCGGGGCGCCUGGCGGCUUUUUCUCCUCGCUGCCGCGCACAACAUGGCCGCGCUGGGGAGCGCCCUGCAGCAGCGGGAGGCAGCGCUGCGGGCGGCAGGGCUGGCGACGCUCCAGCCCGGCCGGGGCGGGGGGGGGGAAGAGCCGGGUGGGGAGGACAAAGGCUGCUCGCAUAAUGCAGGCGAAGUCCUGAGUGCCUAUAAAUAACGCCGCCCGCCCCUCGUCUUCCUCCCUUCCCCCCGCCGCAGCCUCUCGCUCGCUUAGGUUUUAUAAAUACCCAAAGAUGAAAGUAGCCUAAUGCAGAGGAAAAAAAGGAUUUUUAAGAGGAACAAACAAUAGCCCCCCCCAAAAAAAAACUCCCCCCAAAAAACCCCAAAGCCAGGCAGUUGUGGGGGAUGGAUGGAGGGAGAAGCCAGGCAAAUGAGCAGGCAGCGCCGGCCGCGGGAGGAGCAGGGCGGCGUCGCCAGCCUCCCCGCCUGGAGCGGGCUGCGCUGCGCCCCGCCAACGCGCCGGGGGGAGCGCGGCCGCCGCUCCCCGCCGCUCGUCACAUGGCUCUUUGUUGUUUUCCUUCUCCUGCCCCUCCUGGGCUUUCCCCCCCUCCGCCAUCGCCCAGCCGCUCCGCCGGGGCAGCCGCUGCCCUGCCUCCUCCCGCCCGCAGCCGGGGUGGGAUGGCCCGGCCAGGCCGGCCUGCAGCGCCCAGCUCCCCGGGCCCGCAGCCGGGGCUGGGCUGGCGCGGAGCCGGGUGCCGUGCUGCAGUGCGAGCCGCCAUGGCCGUCUGAGGUGUUACAUGUGCCUUUUUUUUUUCUCUUUUUUUCUCUUCUUUUUUUUCCUUUUUUCUUUUUUUUUCCCGAGCAGAUUUUCCUGCAGCUCGCUUUGGGUGGAGGCGUGGGGGUUAUUUCGGAGCUUCACAAACCUCGCUGUGCUCUGCGGGGAGUUGCACCUUGUGCUCCACUGCAAACCCAAAUUAGGCUCCGUCGAGAACAAGCGACAAACCGUCAGCACAAAACAUGACACGUUUCUAUGGAGGGAGGAAAAAAAAAAAGUCUUCGCACUGCCAGGCUGGCUUUAAAACGCUACCCCUGCGCUCUGUGCCCCCCUCUCGGGGUGCAGCUCUUGCAGCCAUGGGGGUUUGCGGCCGCCAAGACCCUCCGAGGGCUCGGUCCCUGUGAGGCGCGCCUUGUCCGGCCAGACCAUCUUUAAACGCCUGGCCCUUGCUCAUGGCAGUACUGCAACAGCCUUCCUGGUUUAAAAUUGCUUUAAAUAAUAAUCUGCUAAUAAACUCGGAAGAAACGGUGACGUGAUUCUUAGCUAAACACUAUUAAAAUGCUCCUCUACUAUUUCUCAAUAGAGGUGAAAAGCAUUUUAGCUUCCUGGAAAUGGCCGAAACAGGCGACGUGUAGAUCAAAGUACGCUGUAGAUCUGUUCUUGGUUUUGCAGGGGUUUUUUGAACUGUAAUGAAAAUGUUUCCGCAGCUUGCAUCAUAAUGAGUUAAGUCGGCAUGUAAAGGGAUUAAAAAAAAAAAAAAAAAGAGAUUUAAACAGCAUCAGCUAUUAAGUUUCCUGAGCUUUAAAAUUCAUGUUGAAAUAGAUAUUUGGAUAUUAGUAAUAUCUGCAUUUAAACCUUAACGUCGGUCUGUUUAACCCUGAAGCAAACUAGCUCUGCUUAACGCAGGCUUUGAAAUGAUUCAGCCAGACCAUAAUACUGUGGGAGCUUAGACAGCUUUGUCUGUACUUGCACCUCUCUGCGCAUUUUUCCAGGACUCUGAUCUUUGUCUGCAAUUAAUCAUUGUUCAGGACGGCCGUUCCCGAUGGUAUGAUCCGUGAACUGCUCCAGCUGGGAGAGGUCCCAAAGCAUGUGCCUGGCGCCGCGUACGUGCAAAUCAGGGCCAGAAGUUGCUGGGGCAGCAGGCGUUGUAGAGUGAGCCCGCCAUGCGGACCCAGUGAAUUGUGUGGGUCCUCAGCACUUCUGAAAAUUGUUUUUGUAAGUCUGAGCUGAACAUUUCUUUCCGUUUUUAGAGUUUCUAAAUGACGAUCGUGUUCAAUGUAGUUGAAAAGUCACCAAGGCAGUUGAGACCGGUUGCACUCUCAGAGUGGGUGGUUUCAUGGCUGAACCUCGUAUCUGAAAAGCUAAAUGUUCUGGUACAGAAUGUUUAAAUCCCAGAAAGGUCAAACCAGACUUUCAUACUUCAGUUAGAUUGACCCUGGUUUACUGUGUGAGACUCUUUAGAGAAAGAAAGAGAUCUUUCGGGGGGGGUGGAAGAUUUUUUUUUCUCUGAACAGCUUGUGGUUACUCUAUGCACAUUCUUGAAGCAAAGGGGUUUGUUCUUGCCCAAGCAAAGGGGUUUGUUCUUGCCCACAGCGUCCCUCCCCUGCAUCAUGGAGUAGAAAACUCUUAUGUUAAUUAUUUCACUGUCUGUUAUCAAUAAGAAGUGAUUUAAUUUCUUUGGCAAAGUGUUGCAACAAGAGCAAAUUAGAUUGAGAGGCAAAGUGAAAUAAAAAACAGGCAGCUGUUCUGCCAAACAAUGAUUAUGACUGUUUACAACAUUUUGGUUUAGACUGGCUUGUACACAGAAUCCUUUAUAUUGAAGGUUUUCAUGUCACAAUCCGCUGCUUGUGCAAGGAAACUAGAUUAAUAGAUUAUAAAGGACAAAAGAGACCUAGGUUCAUCUGGUUCGACUUCCUGCGUUAUGCAGGUCGUCAGAUUUUUGUGAAUUUGUUGCUUAUUUGAAAGAAAUUAACUACAGCAUGGCUACAUCAUAGAAAAACAGAUUUUCAUUUUAAAAUGGGCUGUGAGAGAGAGUAAGAGUUAGUAAAUUGUUUCCAUCAAAGCCUACCUGAAAGACUAGAAAUCAAAAUACCUUUUUUAAACUUCUCUAGUUUCUGCUUUCAGUUUCUGGAUGUUGUUGUAUCUCAGUCUGCUUGACGGAGGAAAGCUCCAUUACCAGAUUUCCGUCCCCGUGUAGCUGUGUACAGGCUGAUCAACUGAGCAUUUAACACUCCUGUUGCAGACUUGCAGAGCUCCCCCUCGGGUCCAUCUUUACUAAUCCUGUAGUCGUUCCUGUCGCGGUUCCCUGUGAACGCUCCAGUUUUUCACCAUUUUGAUCUGGGCAGAAGGGGACAGAGCAAUCAGUGGUGAUAAUACCCACGCCAACAGCCCUUGUUCAGCUGGUUUCCCAGCACGGCUCCUAAAAUACCCUCAGAUCUGCUCCUUCGUGGGACAGCAUCCCCAUCCUGUUGGUUUGUGCUUUUUGUUCUGCUUGUACAGCUUUACACUUGGCUCUCUUGGAAAGGACAAGUCCUUAGUGUUGUUGCUUGCAAUAACCUUUUUUUUUUAUACCCCCUCCUGCUACUAUUGAGUGUCACCUACAAACUUGAUUGGUAACGAUUAUAUAUUUUCUUCCAGAUAAACAACUGCUUCUGUCUCCACUGUAGGAGUUUCCUGGUUCCGGGUGUGUGUACACCUCAGCCGUGUUAGUAUUGCGUCAGGAGGAGGUCUGGAUGUACACCAUCCUCUCGCCACACCCCAGUUUCAUGGGAAGAAAGCCCAGUUCAGGAGCUGGAAGGGAGCCAGGAGGCACACUGCAGCAUUUGCCUGCCCUGGUGUCUAUAGUGUAGCCAUUAAAUAAUGUAGGGCCCAAACCUACCUAAUGUAGGUGGUUGCAGGACCCAUAAAAGAAAGCUGACAGCUUUAGGACACAGCGCUUACAACUGCAUUUUGAGACCUUCCUGUUAGAUGGAUUCUAACCCGUUUCAUUUUAUGCCUUCUUGCUCUUACAUUGUCCUACUCAUAAUCCCAUAAAUGCUUCACAGGGGUUGAAGUAUGGCACAUCAUCCCUCUUGCACAAAUCUCCUACUAGUGCUAUUGCCAUUUACCACCGAACCUUCCAAUUUCUUAAAACAAUUUCUCUCUCAGGAGCUAAACUCAGGAAGCUUUGUCUCCCAUGGAUUUGUGUCAGUAAAUGCCCCCUGACAAAUUUUCCAGCUCUUUCCCAGUCUUGCUUGCCCCAUUUGGCUGAGCAAGGACUAAAGUGCUGGCUGGGUACGGGCAAGGGCUGAGCACCACCGUGGUGCCUCUACUACGUACUCUACUCAGCUCUUCAUUCAAGACCUAAAUACGUUUGGGACUUCUUCCCCUCUGCCAAAUUUGAUUGAGAUUGGAGGAAGGAGAGGAAGAAUGAACAACACAGUCACAUUAGACUGUUUUAUUUUUAGGAAACCAGGCUAAGAAUAUUGAGUAGGAAUAUGGACAGGGUAUUUGCCUGUUGAGGUUUUUUUACCAUGAAAUUUUUCAUUUCUUCCUAAGAAAGCAGAUGAUCUGUCUAGGGAAUUUCUCAGCCAAAAUAAGCAACCUCCUGACAUAUUUCACCUGUGCCCCAGCAUGCUCCAAGGACGCAUGGCAUGUAAGCAUUGAACGAUGACAGGGAAUCACUACCCUGUCCUGGUGUUUGACUGCCUGGGUGUGGAGAUCUAUGGUGAUACCAAGUAGCGGAACAAACAGUUAUUUUGUUUAAGAUCCAUAUAACCUUUGAUGGACAUGUUGGAUAUUUGCCAGGGCUGGGUUUUUGGUUUCUUUUUAAACUGUAUCUGAUAAUUUUAUUUCUCUAUAAGAUAGGUAGUGAGUGCUGUCAGAGAUUUAAUCAUUCUUGAGCUAUAAAGGAAUAAAGAAGCUGUUUCAACACCUGA
Long non-coding RNA from Grus americana (Whooping crane), 4962 nucleotides. RefSeq lists it as uncharacterized. The transcript has 2 exons. The record is from RefSeq and is a predicted model, not a curated record. NCBI's taxonomy places the organism in Eukaryota, Metazoa, Chordata, Aves, Gruiformes, Gruidae.